RNAcentral lists this ribosomal RNA (427 nucleotides) under uncultured bacterium. RNAcentral's name for it is "bacterial SSU rRNA". It matches the Rfam family "Bacterial small subunit ribosomal RNA", at positions 355 to 774 of the family's 1533-position model. The record is from RNAcentral.
UAGGGAAUAUUGGACAAUGGGGGCAACCCUGAUCCAGCCAUGCCGCGUGAGUGAAGAAGGCCCUCGGGUUGUAAAGCUCUUUUGUCCGGAAAGAAAAGCUUCGGGUUAAUACCCCGGGGUUCUGACGGUACCGGAAGAAUAAGCACCGGCUAACUUCGUGCCAGCAGCCGCGGUAAUACGAAGGGUGCAAGCGUUACUCGGAAUUACUGGGCGUAAAGCGUGCGUAGGUGGUUGUUUAAGUCUGAUGUGAAAGCCCUGGGCUCAACCUGGGAAUGGCAUUGGAAACUGGGCAGCUAGAGUGCGGUAGAGNGUAGUGGAAUUCCCGGUGUAGCAGUGAAAUGCGUAGAGAUCGGGAGGAACAUCUGUGGCGAAGGCGACUGCCUGGGCCAGCACUGACACUGAGGCACGAAAGCGUGGGGAGCAAACA